RNAcentral lists this ribosomal RNA (468 nucleotides) under uncultured bacterium. Its description in RNAcentral is "bacterial SSU rRNA". It matches the Rfam family "Bacterial small subunit ribosomal RNA", at positions 328 to 794 of the family's 1533-position model. The record is from RNAcentral.
CUGCCAGACUCCUACGGGAGGCAGCAGUGAGGAAUAUUGGUCAAUGGCCGGAAGGCUGAACCAGCCAAGUCGCGUGAGGGACGACUGCCCUAUGGGUUGUAAACCUCUUUUAUAAGGGAAGAAUAAAUGCUACGUGUAGCAUGAUGCCUGUACCUUAUGAAUAAGCAUCGGCUAACUACGUGCCAGCAGCCGCGGUAAUACGUAGGUGGCGAGCGUUAUCCGGAAUGAUUGGGCGUAAAGGGUGCGUAGGCGGCCUGCUAAGUCUGGAGUGAAAGGUACCGGCUCAACCGGUAUAGGCUCUGGAAACUGGCGGGCUAGAGAGCAGGAGAGGGCGGUGGAACUCCAUGUGUAGCGGUAAAACGCGUAGAUAUAUGGAAGAACACCAGUGGCGAAGGCGGCCGCCUGGCCUGUUACUGACGCUGAGGCACGAAAGCGUGGGGAGCAAAUAGGAUUAGAUACCCCUGUAAC